GGAACAUACUUCCCAGCAGUAGCAGCAGGUGCAGGCUCAGGACGAACAGGACUACCAGGUUCAGCUGGCCUAGGUGGCUCCAAGGUCUUCGCCAAUAGAGCUUCUCUUCUCAGCCUAUCUUUCUCUUCCAACUCUCUUUCCCUCUGCUUUUGCUUCUCAAAUAUUUCAUCCAAUUUGGCUUGCUUCUCCGCAUCUUCCUUCUUCUUCCUCUCAGCCUCUUCCCGUUUUCGUGCUUCUUCCUCUUCACGCAGCUUGGUCAGCCUCUCCUCCUCAGAUUUUAGAAAGAAAAGUAGCUUCCGUUUAAUCUCCCUGUCACGUUUUAGUGCUGCUACUUGCUCUCUGAUGCGGUCAUCCCUCUCUUGUUUCAACCGAUUGAAUUCAGCUUGGCGACGGCUGUCUAUCCUUUGCUGAAAAAUAACCUUGUUUUCCAACAUCCUCGCCAGUCGGUUCUUUUCUUGCAAGUCACCUGCAUGGUGCUGUCGGCUCAGCUCUAUCUCUUUCAGUUGUUCCUGCUCAUGAAGAUGCUGUUCCUCCACCAGACGCUGCUGAAAUGCCUGCUCAAAAAUUGGGGUCUCUUCUUCCCUUUUAGCUCGUUCCAUGUAGUCCAUAGUUUUCCCUAAUUUAUUAAGCUUCUUUUCCAUUUCUUGACGUUCCUUGACUUGUGCAGUUAAGUUGUAGUCAAUCACAGAUUGCUUGGUAAACUUGUCCCCCUCAAUGAUAGGUUUUUUC
RNAcentral lists this unclassified non-coding RNA (729 nucleotides) under Hevea brasiliensis (rubber tree). The record is from RNAcentral. Lineage: Eukaryota; Viridiplantae; Streptophyta; Magnoliopsida; Malpighiales; Euphorbiaceae.